Molecule: long non-coding RNA, 408 nt
Filed under: Gallus gallus (chicken)
Lineage: Eukaryota; Metazoa; Chordata; Aves; Galliformes; Phasianidae
Source: RNAcentral
GUAAACGUGAGGAGCAUAUCAAAAAUAUCGCCUGCCAUUUCAUCUUUGUGCUGUUGCAAAGACAUUGUGAAAGCAGUCAUAUUAAAACCAGGAAUCCGAUCGAGCAAUUUCUCUUCAAUGUAUUUCUCUAUUAAGGAGAUAUAUUCAUUAAAAAUAGAAGUGUAGAUGAGCUUGUUUUCUUCUGAGUCAUCGAACUCCUGGUAGUGCUUCUCCAUAAAAGUCCUCUGUAUGGACUGGAAGUCAUCAUCCAUGAUGAUAUCCUCCAGGUACCCAACGACAGCGUCAAACUCUGCAUCAGAUGGGGAGGAGACGGCUACACCAAAGUUCUCCUCCUCUGAGGUCUCCAUCCCUCCUGCAUAACGCGCCGGCCCGGAGCACAGACAACGUCCCGUACCGCAGCUAGCUGCG